RNAcentral lists this ribosomal RNA (252 nucleotides) under Hepatozoon felis. Its description in RNAcentral is "partial small subunit ribosomal RNA". It matches the Rfam family "Eukaryotic small subunit ribosomal RNA", at positions 567 to 817 of the family's 1831-position model. Lineage: Eukaryota; Apicomplexa; Hepatozoidae. The record is from RNAcentral.
CCAGCAGCCGCGGUAAUUCCAGCUCCAAUAGCGUAUAUUAAAAUUGUUGCAGUUAAAAAGCUCGUAGUUGAAUUUCUGCUAAAAAUAACCGGUCUGCUUUUAAUAAAGGUGGUAUCUUGGUGUGUUUUUAGCAAUAAUGUCCUUUGAAAUGUUUUUUACUUCAUUGUAAUAAAUUAUAUUUAGGAUUUUUACUUUGAGAAAAUUAGAGUGUUUCUAGCAGGCUAAUGCUUUGAAUACUGCAGCAUGAAAUAA